This 797-nucleotide ribosomal RNA is filed under the name Tricharina gilva. RNAcentral describes it as "partial large subunit ribosomal RNA". It matches the Rfam family "Eukaryotic large subunit ribosomal RNA", at positions 85 to 896 of the family's 3401-position model. Lineage: Eukaryota; Fungi; Ascomycota; Pezizomycetes; Pezizales; Pyronemataceae. The record is from RNAcentral.
AACUGCGAGUGAAGCGGCAAAAGCUCAAAUUUGAAAUCGGCGUCCUUUGCGGGCAUCGAGUUGUAAUUUGGAGGGAUAACUUCGGUACAGACUACAUCGUAAGUUCCUUGGAACAGGACGUCAUAGAGGGUGAGAAUCCCGUGUCUUGGUGUUUGGCUGUGCCAUGUGAAGUGUCUCCGACGAGUCGAGUUGUUUGGGAAUGCAGCUCAAAAUGGGUGGUAAAUUUCAUCUAAAGCUAAAUAUUGGCGAGAGACCGAUAGCGCACAAGUAGAGUGAUCGAAAGAUGAAAAGCACUUUGAAAAGAGAGUUAAAAAGUACGUGAAAUUGUUGAAAGGGAAGCGCUUGCGACCAGACUCGAUCUUUGGUGAUCAGCCGGGCUUCUGUCCGGUGCCCUUACCAUUGAUUGGGCCAGCAUCGGUUCCGACGGCGGGAUAAAAGGAGGAGGAAUGUGGCUCCCUUCGGGGAGUGUUAUAGCCUUCUUCACAAUGCCGCCAGUUGGGACCGAGGACCGCGCUUCGGCUAGGAUGCUGGCGUAAUGGUCUUAAGCGACCCGUCUUGAAACACGGACCAAGGAGUCUAACAUCUAUGCGAGUGUUCGGGUGGAAAACCCUUGCGCGUAAUGAAAGUGAACGGAGGUGUGAACCCUUUACCGGGUGCAACAUCGACCGGUCCUGAUGUCUUCGGAAGGAUCUGAGUAAGAGCAUAGCUGUUGGGACCCGAAAGAUGGUGAACUAUGCCUGAAUAGGGUGAAGCCAGAGGAAACUCUGGUGGAGGCUCGCAGCGGUUCUGACGUGCAA